UACCAUGCAAGUCGAACGGUGAAGCCCAGCUUGCUGGGUGGAUCAGUGGCGAACGGGUGAGUAACACGUGAGCAACCUGCCCCUGACUCUGGGAUAAGCGCUGGAAACGGCGUCUAAUACUGGAUACGAGACGUGACCGCAUGGUCAACGUUUGGAAAGAUUUUUCGGUUGGGGAUGGGCUCGCGGCCUAUCAGCUUGUUGGUGAGGUAAUGGCUCACCAAGGCGUCGACGGGUAGCCGGCCUGAGAGGGUGACCGGCCACACUGGGACUGAGACACGGCCCAGACUCCUACGGGAGGCAGCAGUGGGGAAUAUUGCACAAUGGGCGGAAGCCUGAUGCAGCAACGCCGCGUGAGGGAUGACGGCCUUCGGGUUGUAAACCUCUUUUAGCAGGGAAGAAGCGAAAGUGACGGUACCUGCAGAAAAAGCGCCGGCUAACUACGUGCCAGCAGCCGCGGUAAUACGUAGGGCGCAAGCGUUAUCCGGAAUUAUUGGGCGUAAAGAGCUCGUAGGCGGUUUGUCGCGUCUGCUGUGAAAUCUGGGGGCUCAACCCCCAGCCUGCAGUGGGUACGGGCAGACUAGAGUGCGGUAGGGGAGAUUGGAAUUCCUGGUGUAGCGGUGGAAUGCGCAGAUAUCAGGAGGAACACCGAUGGCGAAGGCAGAUCUCUGGGCCGUAACUGACGCUGAGGAGCGAAAGGGUGGGGAGCAAACAGGCUUAGAUACCCUGGUAGUCCACCCCGUAAACGUUGGGAACUAGUUGUGGGGUCCAUUCCACGGAUUCCGUGACGCAGCUAACGCAUUAAGUUCCCCGCCUGGGGAGUACGGCCGCAAGGCUAAAACUCAAAGGAAUUGACGGGGACCCGCACAAGCGGCGGAGCAUGCGGAUUAAUUCGAUGCAACGCGAAGAACCUUACCAAGGCUUGACAUAUACGAGAACGGGCCAGAAAUGGUCAACUCUUUGGACACUCGUAAACAGGUGGUGCAUGGUUGUCGUCAGCUCGUGUCGUGAGAUGUUGGGUUAAGUCCCGCAACGAGCGCAACCCUCGUUCUAUGUUGCCAGCACGUAAUGGUGGGAACUCAUGGGAUACUGCCGGGGUCAACUCGGAGGAAGGUGGGGAUGACGUCAAAUCAUCAUGCCCCUUAUGUCUUGGGCUUCACGCAUGCUACAAUGGCCGGUACAAAGGGCUGCAAUACCGCGAGGUGGAGCGAAUCCCAAAAAGCCGGUCCCAGUUCGGAUUGAGGUCUGCAACUCGACCUCAUGAAGUCGGAGUCGCUAGUAAUCGCAGAUCAGCAACGCUGCGGUGAAUACGUUCCCGGGUCUUGUACACACCGCCCGUCAAGUCAUGAAAGUCGGUAACACCUGAAGCCGGUGGCCUAACCCUUGUGGAGGGAGCCGUCGAAGG
RNAcentral lists this ribosomal RNA (1402 nucleotides) under Actinomycetes bacterium. RNAcentral's name for it is "bacterial SSU rRNA". It matches the Rfam family "Bacterial small subunit ribosomal RNA". Lineage: Bacteria; Bacillati; Actinomycetota; Actinomycetes. The record is from RNAcentral.